UUAAAGAAAUUACACACAAGUUCCUGAUGGAUUUCUAGAGACUAACUCCAUAAGGACUAUUGCUUACUUUGGUAGUCCAUUUUCCAUCCAAACCAUAUUUUUUCAUGAUUAUUUUCUUCCAUAAUGGCUGAGCGUAUAAAUUGAAGUUCCAUAACCACUUCAUCAUUAAAGUCUAAUUCUAGAUCUUUAGAUUCUUAAUUCCAGCACCUUCUUCCUUCUUGCUGGUUUUACAAGACUUCUAAUUGAAAAGAUGUAUUUUAUUUUUCUUGUUGUGCCCUUCAUAAAAAAAUUCCUUCUCAAGGAGUCCAACCUUUUCAUAACACUAGUAGGAACAUGAAAUAGAGACGUCAUGUAUGUAGGCAUUACAUCCAAUACAACGUUAGUCAAGAGGUAAUCCAAGAUAUGUUGUUCGAAGAUCCCCAAUUGUACCUCCUAGAAUGUUGAACAACCUGUGAAGAUCACUCACUUCAUUAAUUGGGUAAAUAAAACUUUUGUUCCAGUUAAUGUUCAGCACGGAGAUGGCAUCAAAUAAAAUGAAAAUCAAUGUUAGCAUACUUACUUGAUUCAAAUCUCCUUCACAAAAAAUCAAGCAUGACAUUUAAAUCCUCCAUGGCAAUGAUAAACAAGAAUGGGGAUAGAGGAUCCCCCUGCCUCAGACCUCUCUGUGAAGGGAAGAAGCCAGCUGGAGAGUUAUGAAAAGCACUGAGAACAUAGCAGUACUUAUGCAAAAGUUCAUCCAUUUGAUACAAGUUUGUCCAAAUCCCUUAUUCCGAAGCAUCCCCAAUAAAAAUUUCCAGUUCAAGUGAUCAAAAUCCUUCCUAAUGUAUAACUUGAAAAAUAUACUUGGGGCUUUACUUCUGAUCCUAGCAUCAGUGCAUUCAUCGGCAAUUAAGAUGGCAUAAAAUUUUUGAAGACCAUUGAUUAAAGCCCUAUACUGAGCAUCCACCAAUUUUUGCACUACUUUCUUCAGUUUCCAUCAAAAGCUUGGAUAUGAUUUUGUAAAUGCUACCUAUCAAGUUGAUGGGUCUAAACUCUCUCAGAUCUUUGGCCGCAAUCUUCUUAGGUAUUAAUGCAAUGAAAGUGGCAUUGAAGCUUUUUUCCAAAAUUCCUUGAUGAUAGAAGUUCUGAAUAGCAGCCACUACUUCUGUGCUUAUGACCCGUCUGGGCCAGGGGCUUUGUCCUUUGCACAAGGUUUGGCACACCUUGUAGCAUCUGAUUUUCUACAUCAUUAAUUUUAGGGCAGUCCCUAAGAUCCCCCUGAGGUCUCCAUUUUUCUUCUUCUAUAUAUAGCUUCUGGUAUAAAGAGACCAUAUCCUCUUUAAUGUUUGCUUCGUUUUCCACAAUGGCCCCUUCUAUCUCCAAUUUGUCAAUGUUAUUGUACCGCUUGUGGGCAUUCGCAGUACUAUGGAAAACUUUUAUGCUUCUGUCCCCCUUUUUCAACCAAAGGUCUCGAGACCUUUGCCUCCAUUCCACCUCUUCAUGAUUUUGAUAUUUUCUCAUAUUCUAGAUACAAAGAGUUUUUUUUUAUUAAAACCUCUUCAUUGGUUAGAAUUCUGCAGUCAUGUAUCUCUUCCAUCUCUAAGAGUUGGUUCAGUAUGUUGGAUUUCUGUAGAUGUAGGAUCCAUUGGAUGAUCUUACUCAAUUCCUUUAGCUUCACCUUCAGAGCUUUCAACUUGUACGCUAAAAUGAAGUGAGGUGUACCUUCACAAUUAACGACAGUCCACCAGUCUUUGAUCCUUUCCUUGAAUCCUCCUGUCUGCAGCCACCAAUUUUCAAAUUUGAAAUAUGACUUAUUUUGAUGACAACUACCACAUUUAAGUGACAACGGAGUAUGAUCAGAACUAAUUCUAUGAAGAGGGGUUUGUUUGAUGUUGUUGAAGAUGUCGUUCCAAUCCGCAGAGAUCAAAUACCUGUCUAGUCUGGCUGUGAGGUGUGCCUGUCACCCCUUCUCCAUGUGUCUCUUCCCUUAGAUAAUGGAAUAUAAACCAACUCUAAAUCCUCAAUGAACUCGGAAAGAUCAGUCAUAGCUUUGGUAAUUCUUCUACAAUUCUUUUUUUUUAGAAGGAAAUCUAAUUUUCACCCAUGGUCCAUUGAAUAAUCUCCUAGCACCUGCAACUUCCCACCAAAUUUCCUCUCUCUCAGUUCUACUAUUUGGAGAAUAUAUACUAGAGAGAUGCCUACAAAAAUCUUGCGAUUUUCCAAUGAAUUUGCAUGUAAUGGAGUAGACCCCUAUGUUGCUAACUUUUCAUUCCCAUAGUCUGUUGUCCCAUAAGAUAAUAAUGCCUCCUCUUGUCCCACUUGCCUUUAGUUGUGAAAAUUUUGCCUAUCUAUUUACCCUAACUUCUUUAAUUAUCUCCCUGAUAUCCCCGUCCAAUUCAGAUUCUUGAAGGCAAAAGAUAUCAGCCUUCCAAUUUUAAAUAAAGUUUCUUAUUAUCCCUCGUUUCCCAGGGCAGAUUAAUCCACCUCACAUUCCAUGAAACAAUAUUUACCUUCAUUGAGUUUUAGUGAAAAAAAUCCCCACCAACGUUUCUAGUUCCAUUGCUUCUAAAAUUUUCUCCUCGUUUCCAGGUUCUUUACGUCCUUGGAAAUCUUUCUUAAUGGAGAUUGUGUCAUAGACAGGUCUGGUGUUAUUUUGAUCACUCGUCUCCUCGUGUCAAUUAUCAUAAACAGUUCCAGUGCUUCUCUCUCCUAACCUUGGAAGCACACCCAAAGUUCUUUGCUCAAUUUAAUGAUAUUUUGAUGCACCCAUAAGGAUGCUUCAAAAUCCAUAUCCUCUUCCUCACCAGAGUUAUGGGUGUUUAGAUGAAGCACAUCUUCAUAUACCAAUUCCAUAUCUCUGUGUAUUAUUUUUGGAUGCAAGAGACUGUCGUCUAACUUGAGAGAGAGAGAGAGAGUUGACAUUAUCUUCAAAGAUGGACAUAGUGUACUCUUCGCCUUAUUGGGGAAUUUGGUCAUCUUCCCCUUUUUAAGUUUCUGUUAUUGUUAAAUGCUUAGAAAUUCUAGAUUUCUCGGCAGUUGGGUAUUGACGAAUUGACAACAAGUGUCAAAGUAUUUGGAAAAAUUAGCAAUUAAGAUAUAUUUAAUAACAUAAUUAAUCAAAAUAACAUUAAUUUAAAUUUUUUAGUGAAAAUGACAAAAUAACAAUAUGUUUAUUAAUGUUACAUAUUUUAUUAAAUGUGUGUAUUUUAGAUUUUAGUGUAUAUUGAUAUUAUUAAUUUAAUAUAUUAAUGGAAAUUCAUUUAUUGGACAAAAACAUGGUCCAAUAACAUUCAAUGAAAAAAAAGAAAUUAAUUAACAAUUUCGUGUAAAGUUCCAAGAAAGGUAAAAAUUAAACCAAUUAAAAAUUUUCAGCCAAAUUUUCAAGUUUCUUUCACAAAUUUUCCAGAUUUCUUCAUCAAAGCCAUUGAUUCCCAAGGAUUCAAGCAGAUUUUCGAGCUAGCAUCAUUAUUAAAGCAGAUUUGGUUGUGGCAAGGAUCUGCGGCGAGAAUGACACAAGAGUAUAAAAUGGCAAUUGAUAGCUCUUCCAAAAAAAGGAAAGUGUCGUACUAUAAAACCCCUGUUGAUCAUCAAGAAUAUCGAAGUGAUGAAGUAUUACGUCAUGACGAUGAAGAGGCAAAUGAAUUUUAUGUCAAAAAUAAACCAAAAAGAGCUCCCCAUAUUCAUUGUUUCUUUAAUCAUGACAUAAAAGCUAACUUGGUAAAGUAUUUACAUGGACAUAUAUACAAUGUAUUAUGUGAAAGCACCUGUUUUGGUAAGUAUAUACAAAUGCAUCAAUGUCAUGUUCACGAACAAAUACAUAGGCGUUGUAUGGCUUUAGAACUCAAUUGUAGUUCUCGCCAAGCAUUUGUAAUGCGUGUAAAUGGAUCUACGUUGCAUUUUAAUUUGAGAGAAUUUACUUUGAUUAGUGGAUUAAGUUGUGUAAACGAAGAAAAUGAUUUCAUCUUUGAUGAGUCAGAACCAAAUAGGUUCAUGGAAAAGUAUUUUGAGGGUGUUAAGUUGAUCAGGAAAAUUGAUAUAAUGAGGAGUUUUCAACAAAAAGUAUGGGGGGAGAACCAUCAGGAUGGCCUGAAGUUUGCAAUUUUAUACUUCAUCCAGACAAUGAUUUUUUCUGGUGAAAGAGCUACCAAAAAAGUUCCUUGAUUAUAUUUUUAUCUUGUUGAAAGUGGAAGGUACAGUCAGUUUCCAUGGGGGAAAAAAGCUUUCUAUUUGCUGAUGAAGAGCCUGAGCAAGAGGUUGAAUAGUGAAAAAUAAUUUUACAGAAUCGGGGGAAUGCCUAUUGUAUUCCAAGCAUGGUUGUUUGAGUUCAGUUUGAGUAUUGAUUUCCAGGUCGCUCAAAAGGUUGAUGACCAUAUUCCGAGGUUGCUCAACUGGCAGACGACCAAUGAGAGUCGUAGAUACAAGAAACUUAUGAACAGCAUAUUUAGUGAUGUUAAUAACAAGAUUAAAUUCAGGAACAUUACACCUAAUUAAACGGAACUUGCAGUAUUGCAACUGCCACCGGAGGAUAUCGAAAAUCAAGCUCCACCUCAGUAUUCCGAUUAAUCAGAUGAUGAUCUAGAUGAUGAAAUAAUUGAUAGUAAUGAUGAUCCACGAGGGGGAAGUUGUGAUGAUAAAGAUUCUGACGAUGAUUUUCAAGAACCUUCUCCACAAGCAGUAAAGGUCAAAAGAAAAGGAAAAGUUGGUUCCUCAAUGUCGCCUGUUAGAAAAAGGACAAAGAAGCCGGUGACUAGUGGAUCCAAACAGGAUGCAAAAAAUUUGGAACCUCGAAUUGCUGUUAAACAACCGAUGAAAAAGAAUGUUGUAUCCAGAAAGUGAUUAUGAUAUUUCAGAGAACAAGCGGAUCUGAAGUGGAAGACUGGUUGAAAGAGCUAUCAGAUUUCAGGAAAGAAGUAUUUACCAUAUAGUAAAUCCUUCAUAAUUAUACACUUAUUAGAAUUUUAAAUUUUUAAUAAGCUACAUCAUUAUGUCGUAUUUUUAGGUUAAACAAGAAUUUGUUGAAAUUCGCAGUUUGAUCAAUGACAACUUCAAGACUGUUCCGACAGGCAUUAAUUAAACACGGGAUGAGCAGGAGGUUUGUUAUAAAAAAUAAAAUGAUGUAACGUAUUUCAAAUUAACAUUUUUGUUAAUGAUUUACGUUGUAAUAUAACACAUGCCGAGCAUUCUGAUGAUCAUAUUGUCCCUUCAAAUUCAAACGAUGAAGAUGGGUAUACACCACAAUACACUUCCAAUAAAGAAUCUCCAUCAAAUCAAGUUCUGGUAGUUCAGUGUGACAAAUUGGAAUCUGGAAAUUCAGAGAAGACACUCAAGGAUUUAAAUGACAGUAAAUCAACAAAUGUUGUGCCCAUACAAUCAACAAUCCAGAUGGAAUAUAUCCCAAAUCCGAUGAUCAUGAGGUAGUUCAUCAUGUCAGCCCCACAUUUUUGAAUUGAAACACCCUUUAUGUUUGAUUUGAUCUCAGGCGAUUAUACUAUAACGCUGUGGGAUGCGUUUCAUUCAUGGAUCCGAGAUGGAUGCAAAGCACGACAAAAAGAAGCAUGAUCAAGACCAUUACAAGAAGAAUCUAGAUGAAAUUCCUAUGGCCAUUAACCUUGGCGUUCUCCUAAUAGACAAUAAGAAUUGGUUCUAUAAUCUGUAUUUCAAAGGAUAGUUAUUGAACAAUUCGGGCAGCAGGUCACGAUGCAGCUAUCAAGGCAGAGAUAGUUAACCUGUCUCAGUUGAUCCCUUUGAAGUUAACAAUCAAUGAAUAUUACAACAAUAAAGGAAUUGAUGUAUCGCAAGCUCAACAAGAGAAUGAGUUCUUUAAUGUAGUAUUCAUAGAUAAUGUUCCUCAACAGUCGCAUGGGUCUUUGGAUUGUGGUAUUUAUAUUCUAGCUUUUGCCGAAUAUCUAUCAUAUGGCCAAGGUAUUCCAGUGAAUGUUUUUGAUGCAUCAUGUUUACGGUCAAGAUACGCUACACUUCUUUGCAAUUAUGGCCAACAAAAGAAUGAUGCUGGAGCAAUAAGUGACAAUGAAGCACCUCCAAGAUAUAGCAAAUUCAAUGUAGCAAUGCAGGAGAUUGAUACAAUUCAAAUAGAUUAGUUGUUGUCCAUUUUUUGAUUUGUCAUUAUACAUUAGUUUUGUAUUGCUAUGAAACGAAUUUAAAGGGUUCCAGUUCUUGUGUUUAUUAAUGUAUAAAAUCUUGAAGUUCUGGU
Solanum lycopersicum (tomato) is the source of this 6190-nucleotide non-coding RNA. Lineage: Eukaryota; Viridiplantae; Streptophyta; Magnoliopsida; Solanales; Solanaceae. The record is from RefSeq and is a predicted model, not a curated record.